RNAcentral lists this ribosomal RNA (446 nucleotides) under uncultured bacterium. RNAcentral describes it as "partial 16S ribosomal RNA". It matches the Rfam family "Bacterial small subunit ribosomal RNA", at positions 354 to 796 of the family's 1533-position model. The record is from RNAcentral.
GUGAGGAAUAUUGGUCAAUGGGCGCAAGCCUGAACCAGCCAUCCCGCGUGCAGGAAGACGGCGCUAUGCGUUGUAAACUGCUUUUCCAGGGAGAGAAACUUGCGCACGUGUUGCGCAAUUGACGGUACCCUGGGAAUAAGCAUCGGCUAACUCCGUGCCAGCAGCCGCGGUAAUACGGAGGAUGCGAGCGUUAUCCGGAUUCAUUGGGUUUAAAGGGUGCGUAGGCGGACUAUUAAGUCAGUGGUGAAAUCCUGCAGCUUAACUGCAGAACUGCCAUUGAUACUGAUAGCCUUGAGUUUGGUUAAGGUAGGCGGAAUGUGUAAUGUAGCGGUGAAAUGCUUAGAUAUUACACAGAACACCAAUUGCGUAGGCAGCUUACUGAGCCGACACUGACGCUGAGGCACGAAAGCGUGGGGAUCGAACAGGAUUAGAAACCCUGGUAGUCC